RNAcentral lists this long non-coding RNA (208 nucleotides) under Oryza brachyantha (malo sina). RNAcentral describes it as "long non-coding RNA (OBRA_LNC003657)". Lineage: Eukaryota; Viridiplantae; Streptophyta; Magnoliopsida; Poales; Poaceae. The record is from RNAcentral.
CUGAUGCAGCUAUGGCGGCGACGGCUGGCCGAGUCACGGGCUGCAGCAGGAGCAGGUCCAAGGAGACGCCGAUGGCAACAACUUCGUGAGGAGGUUGGAGGCGAAGGCGGCGGCCGGCCGACUCAGGCGGCAGCAGGGGCAGGAUGGAUCUAGCGCCGGCGGGAGGAGAUUCGAGGCGGAGCUGGCCCAGCCGAGCCACAGGCGAGGG